RNAcentral lists this ribosomal RNA (253 nucleotides) under uncultured bacterium. RNAcentral describes it as "partial 16S ribosomal RNA". It matches the Rfam family "Bacterial small subunit ribosomal RNA", at positions 524 to 776 of the family's 1533-position model. The record is from RNAcentral.
UACGUAGGGUCCGAGCGUUGUCCGGAAUUACUGGGCGUAAAGCGCACGUCGGCGGCUUUGUACGUUAGAGGUGAAAGCCCGGGGCUCAACUCCGGAACUGCCUUUAAGACUGCAUCGCUUGAAUCCAGGAGAGGUGAGUGGAAUUCCGAGUGUAGAGGUGAAAUUCGUAGAUAUUCGGAAGAACACCAGUGGCGAAGGCGGCUCACUGGACUGGUAUUGACGCUGAGGUGCGAAAGCUAGGGGAGCAAACGGG